Molecule: long non-coding RNA, 1844 nt
Organism: Herpailurus yagouaroundi (jaguarundi)
Lineage: Eukaryota; Metazoa; Chordata; Mammalia; Carnivora; Felidae
Exons: 2
Source: RefSeq, a predicted model, not a curated record
UUUGAAAGAACAAACUGAAAUAUGUAGAAGAAAUGUAGAAAUGCAAAAGGAAAGGGUUAGGUGUUACAUGUGGAGAGAGAACAGCAUCGCAAAAAUGUGGGAUUGGGAAAUUCAGUGGGAUUUUCAGGAAACACAAUUAGUUCAUUCCUGGAGCUUGGGGUGACUUGGGGAGAGGAAUUGGAGAAGGAAUGCCAGAAGUGUGGCCAAGAAUCAGAGUGUGGGGGGACCUGUAGGCCCCGCUAAGAAUUCGGGGUGUAUUCUGAAGGCAGCAGGAGCCCAUUCAGUGUUUUUAAACAGGGAAAUAACUAGGUCAAAUCUGUGUUUUAGAGGAAUCACCGGCAGCAACAUCAAGAUGAACUGGAGUAAAGGGAGGCUAGACAUAUGAACCAUUGGCCCUUCUGUGACUGGGGAGCGGAGGGAUGGACCUUGAAGAAGUCAUUCAGAGUAGCAAUAUUACCAUGGAGAGAAUUGAAAGAGUUGAAGCCAACAUCAAGUUCCUGGUUUGGUUUGAGCAUUGUGCGAGAAAACAGACAGGUGACCUAAGACAAGAAGCAGGUAGGAGGAAGGAGGGAUUAUUAACUCCACCUUGAAUAUCUGGGGUCUGAGGAACCAAUGCAUUUCCAAGGAGAGUCACUCUGUGCAGCCAGUAAUAUGAAGCAAGGAAGAGAAUUGGGGCCAGAGAUACAGUUUGGGGUGUGGUAGGUGGAGCCAUUUGAUUGGAUGAGAAACCCAGAGUGAUCACAUGGAGAGAGAAGAGAAACAAUGAGGCCCAUGGGGAAAUUGAGCUUUUCUUCCCUCCUUCCCCGCCCCCCCCGCCCCCACUUUUAAAGUUCAGUGCCUUUCUCCCUGUUAUAAAAGUAUCUGAAAACCAACAACAGGCCCAAGUAAGUGGAAAUGACACUAAGUUUUGUUUUGUUUUGUUUUGUUUUGUUUUGUCUUUUCCAGAAAUUCUCUAACUUCUGGCACUGGGAGAGGUGGGCCGGCACUCCCAGCCGCAGGACUGCUUCUCUAAGAGUUGACUGCUGUGUAGUUUGAGUAAAUGGUAGCAGCCAGUACAGGGAUCAAGAAGACCCAAGGAUGAAGAUUUUCACUGAUUGAAAGUGAGCUGGAAUGGACAUCUGCAGGAAGUACUGCACUAGAAGUCUCGGCGAGGUGCUCUGCCUAUUUAUGGGGGGCAAAUAAAAGGUUUUCAGAAGACGAUCAUAGUAAGCGCCUUCCAGUUUUUUCCUGGUAAUCACCGAAGAAGUUUUACUGACUGCCAUGAUUGUAUUAUACUACCAAGCAAUAAUAAUAAUAUUAACAAUAUGUGUUAAUAUUUCAGUGCCUCUGAUACACGGGUCACUGUUCUAAACUGAUAAAUGAAUGAUCUCAUUUGAUCUUUCUACAACACAAUGAUAUAGACACUCUUAUUUUCCCCAUUUAUAGAUGAAGAUACUGAGACACAACGAGGUUGAAAAACUUGCCCAGAGCCAUGCAGAGCAGAAGAACCAGGAUGGAACCCAGAUGGGCUGCAGAGCCCGAGUCCUACUGUGUCUGAGAGUAUGAAGGGUGCUCCAUAAUGUCUUCAGACUCUGAAUAAAGCUUCUUAGUGUGAAGCUGGUAUUGCUGCUGUGAAAAGGUCAACACGACAGCUAUGCCUGUGUUAGCCUUUCCCUUCUCUGAAUCAGCGUUUUCUGAGAAAUGUAGCCUUGGGAGUGGUCAUUUCCUCCAUUGGAAAUAAAUCAGAGAAAAAGACCCCCCUCCCUCCUUACCCCUGCCUCUCUUGACAUUAUUCAAAUAUACUUCUUAUUGCUCAGAGAUAUGAAUCUACAGAAUUCAUUAAAAAACCAGUGCUUUCCCUUGAA